This 253-nucleotide ribosomal RNA is filed under the name uncultured bacterium. RNAcentral's name for it is "partial 16S ribosomal RNA". It matches the Rfam family "Bacterial small subunit ribosomal RNA", at positions 524 to 776 of the family's 1533-position model. The record is from RNAcentral.
UACGGAGGGUGCAAGCGUUGUUCGGAAUUAUUGGGCGUAAAGGGCGUGUAGGCGGUUUGGUAAGUCAGAUGUGAAAGCCCUGGGCUUAACCCAGGAAGUGCAUUUGAAACUACCAGACUUGAGUAUGGGAGAGGAGAGUGGAAUUCCCAGUGUAGAGGUGAAAUUCGUAGAUAUUGGGAGGAACAUCCGUGGCGAAGGCGACUCUCUGGACCAAUACUGACGAUGAGACGCGAAAGAGUGGGGAGCAAACAGG